UACGUAGGGACCAAGCGUUGUUCGGAUUUACUGGGCGUAAAGGGCGCGUAGGCGGCGUGUUAAGUCACUUGUGAAAUCUCUAAGCUUAACUUAGAACGGUCAAGUGAUACUGAUGUGCUAGAGUGCAGAAGGGGCAACCGGAAUUCUUGGUGUAGCGGUGAAAUGCGUAGAUAUCAAGAGGAACACCUGAGGUGAAGACGGGUUGCUGGGCUGACACUGACGCUGAGGCGCGAAAGCGUGGGGAGCAAACAGG
RNAcentral lists this ribosomal RNA (253 nucleotides) under uncultured bacterium. RNAcentral's name for it is "partial 16S ribosomal RNA". It matches the Rfam family "Bacterial small subunit ribosomal RNA", at positions 524 to 776 of the family's 1533-position model. The record is from RNAcentral.